This 385-nucleotide ribosomal RNA is filed under the name uncultured soil bacterium. RNAcentral's name for it is "bacterial SSU rRNA". It matches the Rfam family "Bacterial small subunit ribosomal RNA", at positions 26 to 411 of the family's 1533-position model. The record is from RNAcentral.
AGAUUGAACGCUGGCGGCAUGCCUUACACAUGCAAGUCGAACGGCAGCACGGGAGCAAUCCUGGUGGCGAGUGGCGAACGGGUGAGUAAUACAUCGGAACGUGCCCAAUCGUGGGGGAUAACGCAGCGAAAGCUGUGCUAAUACCGCAUAAGAUCUACGGAUGAAAGCAGGGGAUCGCAAGACCUUGCGCGAAUGGAGCGGCCGAUGGCAGAUUAGGUAGUUGGUGAGGUAAAGGCUCACCAAGCCUUCGAUCUGUAGCUGGUCUGAGAGGACGACCAGCCACACUGGGACUGAGACACGGCCAGACUCCGUAGGGAGCAGCAGGUGGGAAUUUUGGACAAGUGGCGAAAGCCUAGACUCCGAGCCAGUCGCCGCGGUGCGAGGA